UGUGAGCUCGAUGAGUAGGGCGGGACACGUGGUAUCCUGUCUGAAUAUGGGGGGACCAUCCUCCAAGGCUAAAUACUCCUGACUGACCGAUAGUGAACCAGUACCGUGAGGGAAAGGCGAAAAGAACCCCGGCGAGGGGAGUGAAAAAGAACCUGAAACCGUGUACGUACAAGCAGUGGGAGCCUCUUUUAUGGGGUGACUGCGUACCUUUUGUAUAAUGGGUCAGCGACUUAUAUUCUGUAGCAAGGUUAACCGAAUAGGGGAGCCGAAGGGAAACCGAGUCUUAACUGGGCGUUAAGUUGCAGGGUAUAGACCCGAAACCCGGUGAUCUAGCCAUGGGCAGGUUGAAGGUUGGGUAACACUAACUGGAGGACCGAACCGACUAAUGUUGAAAAAUUAGCGGAUGACUUGUGGCUGGGGGUGAAAGGCCAAUCAAACCGGGAGAUAGCUGGUUCUCCCCGAAAGCUAUUUAGGUAGCGCCUCGUGAAUUCAUCUCCGGGGGUAGAGCACUGUUUCGGCAAGGGGGUCAUCCCGACUUACCAACCCGAUGCAAACUGCGAAUACCGGAGAAUGUUAUCACGGGAGACACACGGCGGGUGCUAACGUCCGUCGUGAAGAGGGAAACAACCCAGACCGCCAGCUAAGGUCCCAAAGUCAUGGUUAAGUGGGAAACGAUGUGGGAAGGCCCAGACAGCCAGGAUGUUGGCUUAGAAGCAGCCAUCAUUUAAAGAAAGCGUAAUAGCUCACUGGUCGAGUCGGCCUGCGCGGAAGAUGUAACGGGGCUAAACCAUGCACCGAAGCUGCGGCAGCGACACUAUGUGUUGUUGGGUAGGGGAGCGUUCUGUAAGCCUGUGAAGGUGUACUGUGAGGUAUGCUGGAGGUAUCAGAAGUGCGAAUGCUGACAUAAGUAACGAUAAAGCGGGUGAAAAGCCCGCUCGCCGGAAGACCAAGGGUUCCUGUCCAACGUUAAUCGGGGCAGGGUGAGUCGACCCCUAAGGCGAGGCCGAAAGGCGUAGUCGAUGGGAAACAGGUUAAUAUUCCUGUACUUGGUGUUACUGCGAAGGGGGGACGGAGAAGGCUAUGUUGGCCGGGCGACGGUUGUCCCGGUUUAAGCGUGUAGGCUGGUUUUCCAGGCAAAUCCGGAAAAUCAAGGCUGAGGCGUGAUGACGAGGCACUACGGUGCUGAAGCAACAAAUGCCCUGCUUCCAGGAAAAGCCUCUAAGCAUCAGGUAACAUUAAAUCGUACCCCAAACCGACACAGGUGGUCAGGUAGAGAAUACCAAGGCGCUUGAGAGAACUCGGGUGAAGGAACUAGGCAAAAUGGUGCCGUAACUUCGGGAGAAGGCACGCUGAUAUGUAGGUGAAGUCCCUCGCGGAUGGAGCUGAAAUCAGUCGAAGAUACCAGCUGGCUGCAACUGUUUAUUAAAAACACAGCACUGUGCAAACACGAAAGUGGACGUAUACGGUGUGACGCCUGCCCGGUGCCGGAAGGUUAAUUGAUGGGGUCAGCGCAAGCGAAGCUCUUGAUCGAAGCCCCGGUAAACGGCGGCCGUAACUAUAACGGUCCUAAGGUAGCGAAAUUCCUUGUCGGGUAAGUUCCGACCUGCACGAAUGGCGUAAUGAUGGCCAGGCUGUCUCCACCCGAGACUCAGUGAAAUUGAACUCGCUGUGAAGAUGCAGUGUACCCGCGGCAAGACGGAAAGACCCCGUGAACCUUUACUAUAGCUUGACACUGAACAUUGAGCCUUGAUGUGUAGGAUAGGUGGGAGGCUUGGAAGUGUGGACGCCAGUCUGCAUGGAGCCGACCUUGAAAUACCACCCUUUAAUGUUUGAUGUUCUAACGU
RNAcentral lists this ribosomal RNA (1844 nucleotides) under Shigella sonnei. RNAcentral's name for it is "bacterial LSU rRNA". It matches the Rfam family "Bacterial large subunit ribosomal RNA", at positions 398 to 2228 of the family's 2925-position model. The record is from RNAcentral. Lineage: Bacteria; Pseudomonadati; Pseudomonadota; Gammaproteobacteria; Enterobacterales; Enterobacteriaceae.